UAACCAAUCAAGCCUCGCUUGGUGUUGGGGCCCGCACCCGCGGCCCCUAAAGUCAGUGGCGGUCUCUGUAGACUCUAAGCGUAGUAAUAAACCCUCGCUACAGAGCUCUAUAGUGGCCUGCCAGAACCCCCACUUCUUA
Molecule: unclassified non-coding RNA, 139 nt
Filed under: uncultured Leotiomycetes
Lineage: Eukaryota; Fungi; Ascomycota; Leotiomycetes
Description: sequence contains ITS2
Source: RNAcentral